AGAGUUUGAUCCUGGCUCAGGAUGAACGCUGGCGGCGUGCUUAACACAUGCAAGUCGAACGAACCUUCGGGUUAGUGGCGGACGGGUGAGUAACGCGUGAGAAUCUGCCCUCAGGAGGGGGAUAACGGUUGGAAACGACCGCUAAUACCCCAUAUGCCGCGAGGUGAAAUGAAUUUCGCCUGAGGAUGAGCUCGCGUCUGAUUAGUUAGUUGGUGGGGUAAAGGCCUACCAAGACAUCGAUCAGUAGCUGGUCUGAGAGGAUGAUCAGCCACACUGGGACUGAGACACGGCCCAGGCUCCUACGGGAGGCAGCAGUGGGGAAUUUUCCGCAAUGGGCGAAAGCCUGACGGAGCAACGCCGCGUGAGGGAUGAAGGCCUCUGGGCUGUAAACCUCUUUUAUCAAGGAAGAAGAUCUGACGGUACUUGAUGAAUAAGCCACGGCUAAUUCCGUGCCAGCAGCCGCGGUAAUACGGGAGUGGCAAGCGUUAUCCGGAAUUAUUGGGCGUAAAGCGUCCGCAGGCGGUCUGUCAAGUCUGCUGUUAAAGCGUGGAGCUUAACUCCAUUUCGGCAGUGGAAACUGACAGACUAGAGUGUGGUAGGGGCAGAGGGAAUUCCCGGUGUAGCGGUGAAAUGCGUAGAUAUCGGGAAGAACACCAGUGGCGAAGGCGCUCUGCUGGGCCAUAACUGACGCUCAUGGACGAAAGCCAGGGGAGCGAAAGGGAUUAGAUACCCCUGUAGUCCUGGCCGUAAACGAUGAACACUAGGUGUCGGGGGAAUCGACCCCCUCGGUGUCGUAGCCAACGCGUUAAGUGUUCCGCCUGGGGAGUACGCACGCAAGUGUGAAACUCAAAGGAAUUGACGGGGGCCCGCACAAGCGGUGGAGUAUGUGGUUUAAUUCGAUGCAACGCGAAGAACCUUACCAGGGUUUGACAUCCUGCGAAUCUCUUGGAAACGAGAGAGUGCCUUCGGGAACGCAGUGACAGGUGGUGCAUGGCUGUCGUCAGCUCGUGUCGUGAGAUGUUGGGUUAAGUCCCGCAACGAGCGCAACCCACGUCGUUAGUUGCCAGCAUUUAGUUGGGCACUCUAGCGAGACCGCCGGUGAUAAACCGGAGGAAGGUGUGGAUGACGUCAAGUCAUCAUGCCCCUUACAUCCUGGGCUACACACGUACUACAAUGCUACGGACAAAGGGCAGCAAACUCGCGAGAGCUAGCAAAUCCCAUAAACCGUGGCUCAGUUCAGAUCGUAGGCUGCAACUCGCCUACGUGAAGGAGGAAUCGCUAGUAAUCGCAGGUCAGCAUACUGCGGUGAAUACGUUCCCGGGCCUUGUACACGCCGCCCGUCACACCAUGGAAGUUGGCCACGCCCGAAGCCGUUACUCCAACCCUUGUGGAGGAGGACGUCGAAGGUGGGGCUGAUGACUGGGGUGAAGUCGUAACAAGGUAA
RNAcentral lists this ribosomal RNA (1444 nucleotides) under uncultured cyanobacterium. Its description in RNAcentral is "bacterial SSU rRNA". It matches the Rfam family "Bacterial small subunit ribosomal RNA". Lineage: Bacteria; Bacillati; Cyanobacteriota. The record is from RNAcentral.